CCUACGGGAGGCAGCAGUGAGGAAUAUUGGUCAAUGGGCGGAAGCCUGAACCAGCCAAGUAGCGUGCGGGAUGACGGCCCUACGGGUCGUAAACUGCUUUUGCACGGGGAUAACACCCUCCACUUGUGGAGGUUUGCAGGUACCGUGCGAAUAAGGGCCGGCUAAUUCCGUGCCAGCAGCCGCGGUAAUACGGAAGGCCCGAGCGUUAUCCGGAUUUAUUGGGUUUAAAGGGAGCGUAGGCGGGGCGUUAAGCGAGCCGUAAAAUCCCGGGGCUCAACCCGGGCCCGGCAGUGCAAACUGGACUGCUUGAGUGCGCGGCAGGCAGGCGGAAUUCGUGGUGUAGCGGUGAAAUGCAUAGAUAUCACGAGGAACCCCGAUUGCGAAGGCAGCAUACGGGAGUGCGACUGACGCUGAGGCUCGAAGGCGCGGGUAUCGAACAGGAUUAGAUACCCGAGUAGUC
RNAcentral lists this ribosomal RNA (460 nucleotides) under uncultured bacterium. Its description in RNAcentral is "partial 16S ribosomal RNA". It matches the Rfam family "Bacterial small subunit ribosomal RNA", at positions 338 to 795 of the family's 1533-position model. The record is from RNAcentral.